This 369-nucleotide ribosomal RNA is filed under the name uncultured bacterium. RNAcentral describes it as "bacterial SSU rRNA". It matches the Rfam family "Bacterial small subunit ribosomal RNA", at positions 524 to 896 of the family's 1533-position model. The record is from RNAcentral.
UACGGAGGAUUCGAGCGUUAUCCGGAUUUAUUGGGUUUAAAGGGUGCGUAGGCGGUUAAAUAAGUUUGAGGUUAAAUGCGUUAGCUCAACUAGCGUUUGCCUUGAAAACUGUUUGACUAGGAUGUAAACGGCGCAGGCGGAAUGAAUCAUGUAGCGGUGACAUGCAUAGAUAUGAUUCAGAACACCGAUCGCGAAGGCAGCUUGCGAGGAUACGAUUGACGCUGAAGCACGAAAGCGUGGGUAUCGAACAGGAUUAGAUACCCUGGUAGUCCACGCUGUAAACGAUGAUAACUAGAUGUUGGCGAUAUACAGUCAGUGUCGAAUUGAAAGAUAUAAGUUAUCCACCUGGGGAGUACGAUCGCAAGGUUG